AUCGAACGCUGGCGGCAUGCUUUACACAUGCAAGUCGAACGGUAACAGGUUAAGCUGACGAGUGGCGAACGGGUGAGUAAUGCAUCGGAACGUGCCCGGUCGUGGGGGAUAACGCAGCGAAAGCUGCGCUAAUACCGCAUACGAUCUGAGGAUGAAAGCGGGGGACCGUAAGGCCUCGCGCGAUCGGAGCGGCCGAUGUCAGAUUAGGUAGUUGGUGGGGUAAAGGCUCACCAAGCCGACGAUCUGUAGCUGGUCUGAGAGGACGACCAGCCACACUGGGACUGAGAAACGGCCCAGACUCCUACGGGAGGCAGCAGUGGGGAAUUUUGGACAAUGGGCGCAAGCCUGAUCCAGCAAUGCCGCGUGCAGGAAGAAGGCCUUCGGGUUGUAAACUGCUUUUGUACGGAGCGAAAAGGCUCUCUCUAAUACAGGGGGCUCAUGACGGUACCGUAAGAAUAAGCACCGGCUAACUACGUGCCAGCCGCCGCGGUAA
RNAcentral lists this ribosomal RNA (493 nucleotides) under uncultured bacterium. RNAcentral describes it as "partial 16S ribosomal RNA". It matches the Rfam family "Bacterial small subunit ribosomal RNA", at positions 29 to 523 of the family's 1533-position model. The record is from RNAcentral.